Molecule: ribosomal RNA, 407 nt
Filed under: uncultured bacterium
Lineage: Bacteria
Description: partial 16S ribosomal RNA
Rfam family: Bacterial small subunit ribosomal RNA
Source: RNAcentral
AUUGAACGCUGGCGGCGUGCCUAAUACAUGCAAGUAGAACGCAGUUGCGAACGGGUGAGUAACGCGUAGGUAACUGCCUGGUAGCGGGGGAUAACUAUUGGAAACGAUAGCUAAUACCGCAUACUACCAGAUGGACCUGCGUUGUAUUAGCUAGUUGGUGGGGUAACGACCCACCCAGGCAACGAGACAUAGCCGACCUGGGAGGGGGAGCGGCCACACGUGGAACGGGAACCGGCCCAGACUCCUACGGGAGGCAGCAGUAGGGAAUCUUCGGCAAUGGACGGAAGUCUGAACGAGCAAAGGCGCGUGGGUUAAGAAGGUUUUCGGAUCGGAAAGCUCUGUUGUAAGAGAAGCGGUAUCUUACCAGAAAGGGACGGCUAACUACGUGCCAGCAGCCGCGGUGAUAC